Molecule: ribosomal RNA, 253 nt
Filed under: uncultured bacterium
Lineage: Bacteria
Description: partial 16S ribosomal RNA
Rfam family: Bacterial small subunit ribosomal RNA
Source: RNAcentral
UACGUAGGGGGCUAGCGUUGUCCGGAUUUAUUGGGCGUAAAGAGCGUGUAGGCGGUUCGGUAAGUCUGCCGUGAAAACCUGGGGCUCAACCCUGGGCGUGCGGUGGAUACUGCCGGGCUAGAGGGUGGUAGAGGCGAGUGGAAUUCCCGGUGUAGCGGUGAAAUGCGCAGAUAUCGGGAGGAACACCAGUAGCGAAGGCGGCUCGCUGGGCCAUUCCUGACGCUGAGACGCGAAAGCUAGGGGAGCGAACAGG